Molecule: long non-coding RNA, 510 nt
Organism: Corapipo altera (White-ruffed manakin)
Lineage: Eukaryota; Metazoa; Chordata; Aves; Passeriformes; Pipridae
Exons: 4
Source: RefSeq, a predicted model, not a curated record
ACUUCUGAUAACUGGGUUUGUGCCUGGUUGUCAUCACAGCUGCUGUGCAAACACUGGUUAAACUCACAGAUCUGCUGUGAGUAAUAGAAAAGACCUCAUCCCUGACCAUCACCCCCUGCCUGCUGUGUGGGACAUGGGAGCGGAGAUCGGCCCAGAAAAUUCCCUGCUUUCUUUGGAGGGAAAAAGAGCAGGCACAAGCUAUAAUUUCAGUGGUCUGCUGAAUAAAGAGGUGCCUUUGUACUGCAGUCACCUCCAAUGCCUGGCUUUGGCCCAUUGGUGUGCAUGCAGCUCCUGCCAGCCUCUCCCAUCACCUCCUUCCCCUGGGUUUUUAGGAACCUGAGUGGGAUCUUGAUGCAAAGGGGAACUGAGCAACUCAUUAAAGAAGAAAUAUUCUGUACUCUGACAUCCUUAUGCACAUCCCACUUGUAAGAAACAACUGCAAUGUAAACGAUGAGGAAUUUGCAAUUCAGCCCAUCUAGACCCAACAUCAGCAUCUCUUCCUAUUGCACA